This 465-nucleotide ribosomal RNA is filed under the name Vreelandella stevensii. RNAcentral's name for it is "partial 16S ribosomal RNA". It matches the Rfam family "Bacterial small subunit ribosomal RNA", at positions 338 to 795 of the family's 1533-position model. Lineage: Bacteria; Pseudomonadati; Pseudomonadota; Gammaproteobacteria; Oceanospirillales; Halomonadaceae. The record is from RNAcentral.
CCUAUGGGAGGCAGCAGUGGGGAAUAUUGGACAAUGGGGGGAACCCUGAUCCAGCCAUGCCGCGUGUGUGAAGAAGGCCCUCGGGUUGUAAAGCACUUUCAGUGAGGAAGAACGCCUGGUGGUUAAUACCCAUCAGGAAAGACAUCACUCACAGAAGAAGCACCGGCUAACUCCGUGCCAGCAGCCGCGGUAAUACGGAGGGUGCGAGCGUUAAUCGGAAUUACUGGGCGUAAAGCGCGCGUAGGUGGCUUGAUAAGCCGGUUGUGAAAGCCCCGGGCUCAACCUGGGAACGGCAUCCGGAACUGUCAAGCUAGAGUGCAGGAGAGGAAGGUAGAAUUCCCGGUGUAGCGGUGAAAUGCGUAGAGAUCGGGAGGAAUACCAGUGGCGAAGGCGGCCUUCUGGACUGACACUGACACUGAGGUGCGAAAGCGUGGGUAGCAAACAGGAUUAGAUACCCCUGUAGUC